UCCGACACCUCGGGGUGUCCGGCCGGUGCGCGGCAGGGCUGAGAUGCGAGCGUCGCGAACCCGUUGAACCUGACCCGGUUAACACCGGCGGAGGGAAGGUGACGGCAAUCCGC
RNAcentral lists this non-coding RNA (113 nucleotides) under Salipiger thiooxidans. RNAcentral's name for it is "Citreicella thiooxidans TPP riboswitch aptamer (THI element)". It matches the Rfam family "TPP riboswitch aptamer (THI element)". Rfam says of the family: Vitamin B(1) in its active form thiamin pyrophosphate (TPP) is an essential coenzyme that is synthesised by coupling of pyrimidine and thiazole moieties in bacteria. The previously detected thiamin-regulatory element, thi box was extended, resulting in a new, highly conserved RNA secondary structure, the THI element, which is widely distributed in eubacteria and also occurs in some archaea. Analysis of operon structures identified a large number of new candidate thiamin-regulated genes, mostly transporters, in various prokaryotic organisms. Lineage: Bacteria; Pseudomonadati; Pseudomonadota; Alphaproteobacteria; Rhodobacterales; Roseobacteraceae. RNAcentral also lists the same sequence under 1 other name. The record is from Rfam by way of RNAcentral.